RNAcentral lists this ribosomal RNA (549 nucleotides) under uncultured bacterium. RNAcentral's name for it is "bacterial SSU rRNA". It matches the Rfam family "Bacterial small subunit ribosomal RNA", at positions 355 to 896 of the family's 1533-position model. The record is from RNAcentral.
UGGGGAAUCUUGCGCAAUGGGCGAAAGCCUGACGCAGCAACGCCGCGUGAGCGAAGACGGCCUUCGGGUUGUAAAGCUCUGUCAGGAGGGACGAAGCCACUCAGGUGAAUAGCCGAGAGGGUGACGGUACCUCCAGAGGAAGCCCCGGCUAACUACGUGCCAGCAGCCGCGGUAAUACGUAGGGGGCAAGCGUUGUUCGGAAUUACUGGGCGUAAAGCGCGUGUAGGCGGCCUUGCAAGCCAGACGUGAAAGCCCUCGGCUUAACCGGGGAAGUGCGUCUGGAACUGCUCGGCUCGAGUACGGGAGAGGGAGGCGGAAUUCCCAGUGUAGAGGUGAAAUUCGUAGAUAUUGGGAGGAACACCGGUGGCGAAAGCGGCCUCCUGGACCGACACUGACGCUGAGACGCGAAAGCGUGGGGAGCAAACAGGAUUAGAUACCCUGGUAGUCCACGCUGUAAACGAUGGGCACUAGGUGUGGGGGGUAUCCACUCCUCCCGUGCCGCAGCUAACGCACUAAGUGCCCCGCCUGGGGAGUACGGCCGCAAGGUUA